This is a long non-coding RNA of Mustela erminea (ermine), 235 nucleotides long. RefSeq lists it as uncharacterized. The transcript is spliced from 3 exons. The record is from RefSeq and is a predicted model, not a curated record. NCBI's taxonomy places the organism in Eukaryota, Metazoa, Chordata, Mammalia, Carnivora, Mustelidae.
UCAAAUUCCCUUUCUCAAAAAGAUGAUUUGAUUUAGGUCUUCAAAAUAACUUAUUUCACUUCAUUACAGCUAUACAGUUGUAGAGACCUACUGAACAACACUGCGCAUAUAGUUAACAAUACUAUACUAAGCACUUAAAAACGUGACGAGCAGCUUUGCGCAGUGGCAGUAUCGUAGCCAAUGAGGUUUAUCCGAGGCGCGAGUAUUGCUAAUUGAAAACUUUUCCCACAUCGGG